AUUGAACGCUAGCGGGAUGCCUUACACAUGCAAGUCGAACGGAGUGGCGAACGGGUGAGUAAUGUAUCGGAACGUGCCCAGUAGCGGGGGAUAACUACGCGAAAGCGUAGCUAAUACCGCAUACCAUUGGACCGGCCGAUAUCGGAUUAGCUAGUUGGGGGGGUAACGGCUCACAAAGGCGCCGAUCCGUAGCAGGUUUUAGAGGACGACCAGCCACACUGGGACGAGGGCACGGCCCAGACUCCUACGGGAGGCAGCGGUGGGAAAUUUUGGCCAAUGGGGGAAACCCUGAUCCAGCCAUCCAGCGUGUGCGAUGAAGGCCUUCGGGUUGUAAAGCACUUUUGGCAGGAAAGCGGUACCUGCAGAAUAAGCACCGGCUAACUACGUGCCAGCCGCCGCGGUAAUAC
This 407-nucleotide ribosomal RNA is filed under the name uncultured bacterium. RNAcentral describes it as "partial 16S ribosomal RNA". It matches the Rfam family "Bacterial small subunit ribosomal RNA", at positions 30 to 526 of the family's 1533-position model. The record is from RNAcentral.